This is a non-coding RNA of Danio rerio (zebrafish), 71 nucleotides long. NCBI's taxonomy places the organism in Eukaryota, Metazoa, Chordata, Actinopteri, Cypriniformes, Danionidae. The record is from Rfam.
GCAGUUGUGGUUUAGUGGUAGAAUUCUCGCCUGCCACGCGGGAGACCCGGGUCCGAUUCCUGGCCAAUGCA